AACAUGGAGGUCUCUGUCUGACUUAGGACAGCCUGGCUAAGUCUGAUCGUUCCCCUCCAUACAAC
Cavia aperea (Brazilian guinea pig) is the source of this 65-nucleotide microRNA precursor. NCBI's taxonomy places the organism in Eukaryota, Metazoa, Chordata, Mammalia, Rodentia, Caviidae. The record is from Ensembl.